GUGCUCACUUUGGCAGCACAUAAACUAAAACUGGAAGCAUAUAGAGAAGAUUGACAUGGCCCCUGCACACGGUGACAUGCAAAUUCUGAAGUGUUCCAUAUUUUU
Heterocephalus glaber (naked mole-rat) is the source of this 105-nucleotide small nuclear RNA. The record is from Ensembl. NCBI's taxonomy places the organism in Eukaryota, Metazoa, Chordata, Mammalia, Rodentia, Bathyergidae.